Molecule: microRNA precursor, 96 nt
Filed under: Nicotiana attenuata
Lineage: Eukaryota; Viridiplantae; Streptophyta; Magnoliopsida; Solanales; Solanaceae
Description: MIR6152 microRNA precursor family
Rfam family: MIR6152 microRNA precursor family
Source: Rfam by way of RNAcentral
UGGACAGAUUAUUGUAUUCGACUGUAUUCACGGCGUGAAACAGGGGAUUACACUGUUUUUAAAUGGAAAAUGAAUCAAUUAACAUAAUAGACUCCU